UCAGGAAGAGUCAUAGGAAUCCUUCAGGCUGAAAAUCAAGAUGGAGGCCCCCUAUGAGCAGGUCCUAAGAGUCCUACUAGCCUGUUACUGCCAAGAAUGAAGUCACUCGGUAGCAGACUCGCAGCUCCUUAUGCUUUGUGCAGCCAAGGCUGCUCCUUAGCAACCAAUGUCGACAACUGGGUUUCCAAGGAAACCAGAAAGCCCAAUUUAUAAAACUAUGAAACAAAGCAACUGUAAAGGCAACACUAGACACAGAAGAAAUUAUGAGUGUGCCUGCCUCUCCUGCCUCCCCUUUCACCUCCUCCACCUCUUCUGACUCUGCCAUCUGUGAGACAGCAAGACCAACACCUCCUCUUCCUCCUCCUCCUCAGCCUACUCAAGGCGAAGGCAGUGAAGAUAAAGACCUUUAUGGUGAUCCACUUCCACUUAACAAAUAGUAAUUAUAUUUUAUCUUAAUAAUAUUUUCUUUUCCCUAGCUUACUUUAUUAUAAGAAUACAGUAUAUAACAUGAAAUAUGUGUUAUGUUAAUUGUCAGCUUAUGUUAUCGGUAAGGCUUCUGGUCAACAGUAGGCUAUUAGUAAUUAAGUUUUGGAAGUGUCAAAAGUUAUACAUAUAUUUUUAACUGUGUGGGAGGUUGAUUCCUCUAAUCCCAUGUUGUUCAAGGGCCAAGUGUACUUGAUAUGUCACUUGUCAUUUAAAUUCUCCACAAAGAGUUGGAUGGAUGAGUCAUUUUCCCCAGACUGAAGGCAUCAUGAAGGCCUGACGGUGUCACCAACUCCCCUCCUGCAACAUCAGCUGAACAGAUACAGUCCUCGCUUAGACCACCCUCAGAGAGCACAGUUUGUAAAGCUCAUGAAAAUGGAAGUUGUAGAAAGCACUAAAAGUUGCUAAAAUACUUUCAUAUGAAAAAGACUCAAAUCCGCCCACUGGAUUAGACAAAAACCUGAGCUGAAUGAGCCCCAGCUAUCUAUCUAGAAUUUUAUCUUCAUUCCUCAUUUGUCUUCCUUGCUCCCAGUGGAGAGAAGGGGAUAUACAAACAGACCGCUGCAGUUAGAAAAAGGCAAUAGUUGCCUCAGAAACCCAGCUCCUGGUCCCUCCUCAGUUCAACUCCAGUUCCCACUUUGGUAGAUCAGCCUGUGGAACAAAUGGGGUGGCAUUCACUACCCAGUGAUAAUUAAAAUUUAAAUGGCUAUAAGAAAACAAGUCCUCUACUGUUUAUUGGUGCCCAUACAAUCAUCAAAACAUAGGUACUGUAUAUCUUACAAAUGUGACUCAAAAAGAUUGAAAGUGGAAUAGAUUCUAAGAAACAAGCAAUUGUAUUAUUCACAUUCCAGCUGAUCUGUAUCACCAAAUAACAAAUAAAUAAUCCAAGGAAUUCCUCCGGGAGCAAUCUUUUUCCUUGAGGUUUCCCGUUCAUUUUUUAAAAAUUUCAGCAAAUAUUUAUGGAGGACCCACUUUGUGACAUCCACUGGGGUGCAGGUGCUUAGUAGGGGCUUGCUACCCCUGCCAUUGGUCUUCCAUUCUAAGUUGGGAAGAGAAAACUUUUUUCUUUAAGAAACAUUCUAUUAAACACAGGAUUAGUGAUACAUGAAUAUAUAUCCUCCAAGUCAACAGGUUCAUUUCCUCCUGGAUUUCUCUAAGUUACUUUGUUGUUGCUAUUUUUAUAACAUAAUUAGAAUGUGCUAGAAAAAUAAUAGAAAUGGGUCAAAUUGAUACUUUCCUUUCUCAAACAACUUUUUAUCAAAAGGAAGAAAACUAAAUGUAUUUGUUUCUUGGCUAUUAAAAAUACAUUGGAGCAAACAGACACUUCGGAUUAGACUAUCACAAAGGAAAAGUCAAAUAAUUCCUGAGGCAUUCAAAAACAUAUGCAGAAAUGUCAGUAAACAUCCUUGAAUGAUUUUUCCCCGCCCUGGCAGAAUGAAAAGGGUAAGGAAAAACACUAGAUGCAAGAAUCAGCAGACAGACAGUAGCUCGGUUUGUCUUCCAUUUGCCUUAUCCCCAGACAGUUCAUGAUUCUUGGUUUUAGAAACUGGACCACAGGGAUGACAGCUGAGUGUCUGAUUUUUCAAAUGACUGAUGUUCAAUCACGGGGCACAUAGGGGUCAAACCUUGCAGCUAUUUCAAAAACACUUAUGUGUAAUCUGAUGAAAAGACAUAGCUAAACAGAAAAUAUAUAAACAAAUUUGAAGUUUGGGAAGUCUUGUUGAAGAAUCACUAAACUGACAGCACAGAAGUAAAAGUAACUGAAUUAUAAAGGAGGGGGACAAAAGCCCAGAUCUGGAAAUAGUCAUUCUAUUUCAAGAUUCGUCCUGAAGAACUGUACUUUAUAAGAAGUUAAUUACACUUGUGAAAGCUACUAUCAUUCUGCCAUUAUCUAUACUCCCACUAAAUCGCUAUUAGAAAGACUACCAACUCCAUAUGUCACAUUAAGAAAAAAAAGACGAAACCAAGCAAGUUUGUAAAAACUGAUGAAAGGACAACAAACCAAUGCAAUGGCCUUCGCUGCUGGUUAUAUGGCACCCAUUUUAGCUUUUUAACUUCCUAGGACAGACUUAUAUAAGUACUUUCCCAUCAGAAAUAAAAUUGUUAUACCAUUUUCAAAAAAUAUCAUGUGGUUAUA
Symphalangus syndactylus (siamang) is the source of this 2620-nucleotide long non-coding RNA. RefSeq lists it as uncharacterized. Lineage: Eukaryota; Metazoa; Chordata; Mammalia; Primates; Hylobatidae. The record is from RefSeq and is a predicted model, not a curated record.